This 253-nucleotide ribosomal RNA is filed under the name uncultured bacterium. RNAcentral's name for it is "partial 16S ribosomal RNA". It matches the Rfam family "Bacterial small subunit ribosomal RNA", at positions 524 to 776 of the family's 1533-position model. The record is from RNAcentral.
UACGUAGGGUGCAAGCGUUGUCCGGAAUUAUUGGGCGUAAAGAGCUUGUAGGCGGUUUGUCGCGUCUGCUGUGAAAUUUCGGGGCUCAACCCCGAACUUGCAGUGGGUACGGGCAGACUAGAGUGUGGUAGGGGAGACUGGAAUUCCUGGUGUAGCGGUGAAAUGCGCAGAUAUCAGGAGGAACACCGGUGGCGAAGGCGGGUCUCUGGGCCGAUACUGACGCUGAGGAGCGAAAGCGUGGGGAGCGAACAGU